This 446-nucleotide ribosomal RNA is filed under the name uncultured bacterium. Its description in RNAcentral is "bacterial SSU rRNA". It matches the Rfam family "Bacterial small subunit ribosomal RNA", at positions 330 to 793 of the family's 1533-position model. The record is from RNAcentral.
UCCAGACUCCUACGGGAGGCAGCAGUGGGGAAUAUUGCACAAUGGGGGGAACCCUGAUGCAGCGACGCCGCGUGGGUGAAGGAGCACCUCGGUGCGUAAAGCCCUAUCGGCAGGGAAGAAACAGACGGUACCUGACUAAGAAGCCCCGGCUAACUACGUGCCAGCAGCCGCGGUAAUACGUAGGGGGCAAGCGUUAUCCGGAUUCACUGGGUGUAAAGGGAGCGUAGACGGCGACGCAAGUCUGGAGUGAAAGCCCGGGGCCCAACCCCGGGACUGCAUUGGGAACUGGCGUGCUGGAGUGCCGGAGGGGCAGGCGGAAUUCCUGGUGUAGCGGUGAAAUGCGUAGAUAUCAGGAGGAACACCGGUGGCGAAGGCGGCCUGCUGGACGGAUACUGACGCUGAGGCCCGAAAGCGUGGGGAGCGAACAGGAUUAGAUACCCCCGUAC